Molecule: long non-coding RNA, 203 nt
Filed under: Gossypium raimondii (Peruvian cotton)
Lineage: Eukaryota; Viridiplantae; Streptophyta; Magnoliopsida; Malvales; Malvaceae
Description: long non-coding RNA (GRAI_LNC003603)
Source: RNAcentral
UGGGGGGUAACAUAGGAAAUUUUUCAUUUUGCUUAUUUUGUUUUCAUACUUUUUCUUUUAUUUUUCUUGUCAAAGUGUGCUUGAGCUUGUGGAAAUACAAGUGAUAGGUUAGAAGUGUGUAUAUAGGUUGAUUGUAUUUAAUAUAAAUUUUGCAUGAUGGUGAAUGAUUUUAAAUUUUUGAUUAUUAGACUACUAAGUUCUAU